GCACAUAAUUGUUGCAUCUGAAGCAUUUUCCUCUUGGUAAUUGGCAUAAAGCUGCUAAUAUGAUUUGUUUUUUUUUUAAAAGUUCUUUCUAGUUCUCAGUUAAUCUGUGAUUGGUUUCUUCGGGUAGCCGGACCAAUGUGUAUAUGCAUGUGAAACAAGGUAAGAUAAUGUUCUUCCUAAGUGCCUUCUAGAUCAUAAUUCCAUAAUUAUGUUAUCUUAUUUAGCAUGCUCAUGCUCACCGAAAUUCAGUUGCAUCUAAACACAGAAUAACGAUAUCAUAAUUCCAGCCAAUCACCUUGCAAUCCAGAGAGCAGUGGAAAUAGGGUUCUUGGAGGCUUCUAUCGCAAGAGGUGCAGAUAUUCCCUGACCCUUUAAAUUGCCUGUUCUGUGGUCUUUUCUUCAGGAAAACGACCUUUGAGCUGUUAAUUGUGUAUGACUGCACCAUGUAGAUACAGAAUUGUAAGGCUGCAUACAUAUUAACCCUUGCACAACUAUCAAACUUGCAUGCAUGCACUAUGCAUAUUUGAUGUACCUGAACACUGGAGCAAUCGAUCAGCUUCUCAAGGUCCUCCAGCCGGACAACAUCAUGGUAGACGUAGCGCCGCACCUGCAGUAGCCUGUGCACACGGUGUGCUGCCACACAGUGUGGGCAGAUGCUGGUGCAGCAGUCAAGGCAACAGAUGUUCUUCUCAUUCUUCUUCGCAUGCUCAUGGAAAGAGCAUGCUAUGAAGAACUUCUGUGUGUUCAGGGCCUCUAACCAUGCUGGCUUCCACAUAGCCUGCUGAGGUUGCGAAAUUCCAAGUAAAUUUUCAAUUGAUAGAGAGAAUUUUCAUGAUAGUAUGAAGAAGUUUGGAAUCCUCACCAUGAUCAUGUGUGUUGUUGAUGUGAAAUCCUUUGGUGUUGUGUGUGGUUUUGGCUGGGUGAGGGUGAGGGUGAGGUGCUGUGAGGAAGGAGGAUACGUACAACUUAUGAAGGAUGAGAGGAGGGGGUGUUUAGUGGGAUAAGAAGGAUUAAAGAUUCAACCAUAGACGGGGGGCUAUAUAUUUGCACCACUAGGGCUUUUGACAUUUGACUCCUUAAUCUCUGGCACUAUCAUGGAAUGCACCUUGCUUUAUGAAAGGGUAGUGAUAGCCAUGUGUAGUUAACUUUGUGCAUCUUAUUAAGAACAUGUUCCGGAAUUGCCGUUGUAGGUGCUGGAUGUGAUAUUAUGAUAAUCAAAUACUACAUUUUACAAAAUUUAGUUUUUUAUUGGACCAUUUAUCUUAAGAGGUUAGAGUUGAUUCAAAAAUUCCAAUAAAAUUCUCUGAGAUUAUAGAAAAAUUGCCACAAAAGGUUUUUUUUCCUCUUAGAGAAAAGUCAACUAAUCUAUCAUGAUUUUGUCAGGUUCAACUCAAAACAGUACUGAAAUUCAAAGAAUUUACAUUUUACAAGACUGUUCAGGAUUGGCUAGUGAAGCAUAAAUCAAGUUCGCCCCAUUUAGAUUUGCUUGACCGCAAUCAUACAAUUUCAUAUGCAAUUUAGGUGACAUGGUAAAUUAUUGUUUGCGUUAUUAAUUAAUUUACCAUUCUAUCUUCUCCUUUAGAAAUUAUGACAGACUACCAUUCAAACAGAUAAAAUGUGCAAUCAACUGUUAACAUGGUUUAUGUGGGUAAAGGCUUUAUGUAGAAUUUUAGUCACUUGGGAUAUUACUCCUCAGCAACAUAUAUUGUCUCUCUUUUUUCCAACAAUAAACAAGAAAUGUUCACAAAUGCUCAUUUCUGGUGGCAUUGCAACAUGGAAAGGUCUGGUGUUUUAACAUUAAAAUCUGCUGCAUCUCUUGGGGAUUGGACCAAUGUGCAUGACUUGUACAUAGUGAGCCAACAAAGCAUACAAAAACAAUUAUAUAAAGGGUAGAAAGGGAGGUGGGGAGGUGAGGAGAACGUGGAUGCUGUUUCUAGUGUUUCCCAAUCCUUGUCCAAACUUUUUAACUUAUGACCAAAGCUCCAAUCUCUAGUCUUGGCUAUAGAGCUCACCACUCUUAAACAAAUGCAGUGCCCAAGAAGCCCUUUGAUUCCUUGUUUGGAGGCUUAUGUGUGGGGGAGAGGAUGGCCUUUCUUGGGCAACACAUGCAUACAAUAUAAAUCACCAGUCUCCACUAACAAAUUACUGCCUUGGGCUUUGCCCCAUCGUGUUUGCUACAGGCUAGCUGUUGUUUUACUUGAGUUUUAUAUCUCAAAUGGUAAACUACAAAAACUCAAACCUGUUAUGCAUUCUGUGAUUAAACUUUUUUGGAACCUACAAUCUGUUUUACUCUUCAACAGUUCUUGUUUUGAAUACAAAUUUGAAUGCUAUGCAAUGGAGAUAAUACAGGUACAAAUACAAUGUAGAUUUGAACUUUUUCUUUAUGGGGUAUAUACUGUGUACUUGUGCUGUGAGACCUUUCUAACAUGGUAUAUCCAACCUUUUUGGCCUAAGUUACUACUCCUUUGCACUAAAUAGAUAAAUUGUCUCUGUUUUGGUGUUUAUACAUGCAAGAUUUCCUGAUUUCAAAAGAUAACUACUACUGCUUAAAUCUAACAGCUGUGAUUUGGCUUGACUUCUAGCCUUCCAGGUGUGGAUUUGAUGAGGACUGCAAUGGUCUGUCCCAGGUGUGCUUCUGUCAAGGUUCGCAAAAGAAUAACUUUGCAUCAUGCAUAGAGUUCAUUUUUCUGGACUGUACCGAUGGAUCAGAGUUCCUGAUGUGAUUUAUCUGACGAUGCAUCCUAAUAUUCUGAACUGCAUUGCAGAGAUUGGCCCAUUGUCCCUGAAAGGGUGAGUUGAUGGACAGCUCACCUUAAAAUGUCUGACUGGUCUUUCAACUGUGGAAGUCAAACGGAAUAUUAAGUGAUAUAUAUCAUGGCUCUAACAAAAGCAAAAACUUUUCAUCUCUGAUACCUUUUGAUAUUGUGUACCAUUCAUGCAUUUUCUCUUAAUCUUUCCAUGUUCACCUGGUCUCCAGAUACAAAGAAAGACAGUUCUUUCUCAGUUUCUUUAGAGUCUUAUUGUUUUGCCUAAAGCCGAUUAUAAACCGUAACGCUUAUCAGCGACAAAACUUAAAACUUUUAUGUGUGUGCUCUUAGCGACUUAAAAACCAAUGCUGGAAAAAUAACAUCAAAAUCACUCUAAAAUUAAGUUUUAAAAUUUAAUUUUGAAUGUAUCUGAUUUAAUUUUGGUUGUUUCAGGAACAGCUGUUUCAUCACUCCCUUUCUCUGCACAAUGAUGGUGUUGAAUGCAGAUGAAAUGGGGAUUAGAGGAGAAAGUGUCAGAUAAAGAAAGCAUCAGAACAUGACAUGUGAAUGAGGUACAUAAUACGUUGCCAAUGCUCUGUAUAUAUCAUCAGU
Molecule: long non-coding RNA, 3359 nt
Filed under: Oryza sativa (Asian cultivated rice)
Lineage: Eukaryota; Viridiplantae; Streptophyta; Magnoliopsida; Poales; Poaceae
Description: long non-coding RNA (OSAT_LNC000272)
Source: RNAcentral